Styela clava is the source of this 1275-nucleotide non-coding RNA. Lineage: Eukaryota; Metazoa; Chordata; Ascidiacea; Stolidobranchia; Styelidae. The record is from RefSeq and is a predicted model, not a curated record.
UAUCAAUCUAGUGUUUCGCAGAUUGUUGUAAACUUGACUUAAUUCAACGUACAUGAAUUCCAAGUCAAGGAUUUUCAACAAGUAAUUUCGUCGCUUGUACAAGAUUCGCUUACCAUUUUCUUCUGUUAUCUGUUGUCAGAUAUUGGAUUCUUAUAAUUUUGGUUUAUUUUAUUUCAAUAAUUUGUUUAGUCAUUACUAAAAAAAUCAUUACGAAACAUGAUUUCUGGAACAAAUAUCGAAUAGUUGGUGCUGUGGUUAAUUUUAUUGAUGAUGAUAUUCCAAAGUAUAGACGUGGUUACAUGCCAAUGCACAUGACCUGCAUGUGGAGGUUUUCAGGAACCAUUGGAGCUGGGAAUAUCCGAAUAACAUCAUCGAAAACUAAUGAGAUGAAUAUAUAUGUUAUAUAUUCCUUCAUUUUUUGCGGGCUUUUCCCAUGGACGUCAGACGAUAAAAAAAACAUAUUAUAUAUAUUAAUAUUUAAAAUAUUUCUAAUCAACACUAAAUAAAAGAUGAAAUCGAAAAAUUGACUUAAGAUUUGUUAUCAAUAAGGGUAAUUUCAAUAUAUACAAAGAAAUACAUAUUACGCGUUUGUGAGGGGUGUUAAGCUACGAUUUAUUGCAGUUUGCUAUAAACGAAAAAUAACGUGAUUAAAAAUAGGAUUUAAUACUCUAAAUCGACACGCCUCGGGCUAUGAUAUCGUGUUAAUAAAAGACUUUUUAUUAAAAUAAAAAUUUUUUAAUUUCCUUCACUAUAUUAUUAUUUUUUCAAAUAUUUUGUUUAGUUCCGCCAUUAUAACUUAUUAUUAUGUAGUGUUUCACAGACUAACAUCUGUUUAAAAUAUUUUCUUAUUAUAUUUUGUUUCGUUUUAUAUAUAAUGAUUGAAAUUUUAGUGUUAAAUCGAUGCGGAAUAUGUUUUCUGAGGCAAAUGUCCGACCGUUGUUCUGGUGGGUAAUUGCAAUAUUGAUUCUGCUGCAAGCUGUAGAUAUGAUAGCGUGUCAGGGCAAUGGAGGAGAUUGGUUAGAUAGAUAUCUGGAACAAAUGAAGUUGAAUCUACAAUUUAAGACAAAUGUACAAGAAAAUAAUAAUCAAAAUGAUUUUAAAACUCGCAGAUUGGAAUGAUAUUAUUCCAAUAGAAUAAUGGCAUCCUCUCCAUGGAUUAUCGAAUAAACACAGAAACCUGCUUUAUAUAAUAAUAUUUUAAUCUUGCCAAACCAUAAACAGUUAUUAAAACUAAAAUUGCAAUAAAUGAUUGAUUUCAAUAAACACUGAGAAAAC